This 279-nucleotide long non-coding RNA is filed under the name Phoenix dactylifera (date palm). RNAcentral's name for it is "long non-coding RNA (PDAC_LNC010486)". Lineage: Eukaryota; Viridiplantae; Streptophyta; Magnoliopsida; Arecales; Arecaceae. The record is from RNAcentral.
GAUCAAGGGUUGAUUGAAGAUGGAUCAAGGAGUUGAUCACAAUUGGACCUAGAGGAUCAAGAUCGAGUCAAGAGUUGAAGACGAUCAAACCAAUUGACGUGCAUGUGCUUGUAAAAUGACCCCAUCCUGGAUCCAUGAUCAUCACCAUUUAAUUUUAUUUUUGAUAAAUGCCUGGAUGUUUAAUGCUUAUGAUUAUGCGGGUAGACUUAUAUUUGCAUGAGAUGUGAAUACGCGAUCGAGUGAGACCUAAAUCGAAACCUCCCUAAUCUGUCGAGGGUG